UACGGGGGGAGCAAGCGUUGUUCGGAUUUACUGGGCGUAAAGGGCGCGUAGGCGGCCAGCACAAGUCAGUUGUGAAAUCUCCGAGCUUAACUCGGAAAGGUCAACUGAUACUGUGCGGCUAGAGUGCGGAAGGGGCAACUGGAAUUCUUGGUGUAGCGGUGAAAUGCGUAGAUAUCAAGAGGAACACCUGCGGCGAAGGCGGGUUGCUGGGCCGACACUUACGCUGAGGUGCGAAAGCGUGGGGAGCAAACAGG
Molecule: ribosomal RNA, 254 nt
Filed under: uncultured bacterium
Lineage: Bacteria
Description: partial 16S ribosomal RNA
Rfam family: Bacterial small subunit ribosomal RNA
Source: RNAcentral